RNAcentral lists this ribosomal RNA (230 nucleotides) under uncultured bacterium. Its description in RNAcentral is "partial 16S ribosomal RNA". It matches the Rfam family "Bacterial small subunit ribosomal RNA", at positions 562 to 791 of the family's 1533-position model. The record is from RNAcentral.
AAAGCGUGCGCAGGCGGUUAUGUAAGACAGAUGUGAAAUCCCCGGGCUCAACCUGGGAACUGCAUUUGUGACUGCAUGGCUAGAGUACGGUAGAGGGGGAUGGAAUUCCGCGUGUAGCAGUGAAAUGCGUAGAUAUGCGGAGGAACACCGAUGGCGAAGGCAAUCUCCUGGGCCUGUACUGACGCUCAUGCACGAAAGCGUGGGGAGCAAACAGGAUUAGAUACCCUAGU